CGCAUCUGUGCAUGCAGCAUAUCAAUAAGCGGAGGAAAAGAAACUAACAAGGAUUCCCUUAGUAACGGCGAGUGAAGCGGGAAGAGCUCAAAUUUGAAAUCUUCAAGGUUUUACCUUGACGAAUUGUAGUUUAAAGAAGUGUUUUCUGUUGAAGUUUUGGUAAAAGUUCUUUGGAAUAGGACAUCAUAGAGGGUGAGAAUCCCGUAUUUGACCAUUAUUUUCAGCUGUGUGAUACACUUUCAAAGAGUCGGAUUGUUUGGGAAUGCAGUCCAAAAUGGGUGGUAAAUUUCAUCUAAAGCUAAAUAUUGGCGAGAGACCGAUAGCGAACAAGUACCGUGAGGGAAAGAUGAAAAGAACUUUGAAAAGAGAGUUAAACAGUACGUGAAAUUGUCAAAAGGGAAGCGUUUGACACCAGUGUUGUUUUCUCGAAAAUCAAUUAAAAAGAGUUAGAUUUUGUUGUGUAUUGACCUUAACAGGCUUGCAUUUCAAUUUUCUUGCUUUUUUUAAUGCACUUUUCGUUUAACAAGUCAACAUCAGUUUCUUUUGUUGUAAAAAGGUCAUUGGAAGGUGGCUUUCUUUUCGGAGAAAGUGUUUAUAGCCUUUGACUCCUGCAAUCGGAGAGACUGAGGUCUGCAGCGUAGAUCCUUCGGGGUUAGAUACAUUUGUGCUAAGUUAUAGCUUUUUAUAGACAACUUGUUGACUAUGAUUAGUCUUGUAGCUUACUCGCUUAUGCUAUUUUACCUACGCUUAGGAUGUUGAUCUGUAGUGCGUGCG
Molecule: ribosomal RNA, 774 nt
Filed under: uncultured Neocallimastigales
Lineage: Eukaryota; Fungi; Neocallimastigomycota; Neocallimastigomycetes; Neocallimastigales
Description: partial large subunit ribosomal RNA
Rfam family: Eukaryotic large subunit ribosomal RNA
Source: RNAcentral